Molecule: ribosomal RNA, 464 nt
Filed under: uncultured bacterium
Lineage: Bacteria
Description: partial 16S ribosomal RNA
Rfam family: Bacterial small subunit ribosomal RNA
Source: RNAcentral
CUACGGGCGGCUCCAGUGGGGAAUAUUGCACAAUGGGCGCAAGCCUGAUGCAGCCAUGCCGCGUGUAUGAAGAAGGCCUUCGGGUUGUAAAGUACUUUCAGCGGGGAGGAAGGGAGUAAAGUUAAUACCUUUGCUCAUUGACGUUACCCGCAGAAGAAGCACCGGCUAAUUCCGUGCCAGCAGCCGCGGUAAUACGGAGGGUGCAAGCGUUAAGCGGAAUUACUGGGCGUAAAGCGCACGCAGGCGGUUUGUUAAGUCAGAUGUGAAAUCCCCGGGCUCAACCUGGGAACUGCAUCUGAUACUGGCAAGCUUGAGUUUCGUAGAGGGGGGUAGAAUUCCAGGUGUAGCGGUGAAAUGCGUAGAGAUCUGGAGGAAUACCGGUGGCGAAGGCGGCCCCCUGGACGAAGACUGACGCUCAGGUGCGAAAGCGUGGGGAGCAAACAGGAUUAGAUACCCCAGUAGUC